UAGUCCACGCCGUAAACGAUGAAUACUAGAUGCAGCGGGUAUCGACCCCUGCUGUGUCGUAGCUAACGCGUUAAGUAUUCCGCCUGGGGAGUACGGCCGCAAGGCUAAAACUCAAAGAAAUUGACGGGGGCCCGCACAAGCGGUGGAGCAUGUGGUUUAAUUCGAUGCAACGCGCAGAACCUCACCUGGGCUUGAAAUCCUCGGACAGCUAUAGAGAGAUAGCUAUUUCUUCGGACUACUUACAAGGUGCUGCAUGGUUGUCGUCAGCUCGUGCCGUGAGGUGUCAGGUUAAGUCCUAUAACGAGCGCAACCCUUAUCGUUAGUUGCCAGCAAGUAAAGUUGGGGACUCUAGUGAGACUGCCGGUGCAAACCGAGAGGGAAGGUGGGGGAUGACGUCAAAUCAUCACGGGCCCUUACGGUCCUGGGGCUACACACGUGCUACAAUGGGUAUGGGACAGAGAGCAGCCACUAC
Molecule: ribosomal RNA, 472 nt
Filed under: uncultured bacterium
Lineage: Bacteria
Description: bacterial SSU rRNA
Rfam family: Bacterial small subunit ribosomal RNA
Source: RNAcentral